UUUCAACUUCAGCUAUUCCACCUGUAGGGACCGCAUUAUCCUCAUAAUUAAUCAGUCUGAAAUGAACUAUAUUUAAAAUGGCUACUUAAGUUGCUCUUUUAAGAAACAGAACAUAAUUAUUUUCAUGACACACCUUCCUGACAGUGAGUCAAAGCCACAGAUGAAACCUAUGUUUUUAUAAUAAAUGCAUUGCUUGUGAAGUUGUGUUUUGAAUACAGUUCUCAGCAAGAAUAAAACCUUAAUGAGUGGAGUUAUGUCUGAAUGGAGAUAUUGUUUUUCCAGCACAUUUUGGCAAAUAGCAGUUGCAACUGAAGAGCUAAUUCAGCAAUGUGGGAAUUCCGGGAACUAUGGGGAAAUAUAUUCACAGAGAGGGGGUGUAAGGUGCUGGAUGAAAGUUGAUUCUCUAGAACAUGUUGGGAAGAGCAGUGGAACUUUGGCUAAGGAUUUGCGCCUGUGGCUGGAAGAUUGAUGGUUCAAAAUGGACCAGUUGCUGGUCCACGGCUGGCAGAGGAAUCCUACUCCGUUGGGCCCCUGAGCAAGGCCCUUAACCCCGGCUGCUUCAGGGAUGCAGUGUAAAUGGCUGACACUGCAUCUGACCCCAGGUUUCUCUCUCCCUGUCUGUGUGCCUGCAUGUCUCAUGGAGAGCAAGCUGGGGUAUUCGAAAAGACAAAUUUCUAAUGCAAGAAAUUGUACUGUAUAUGGCUAAUAAAGUGAUCUUAUCUUUAUUUUACAUACAUAUUUUGCCUUCAUAAAACACGCUCUAUAAGCAAACAAAAUAUCAUAAAUUGUUUUUUGCAUUAUUUUGUUA
RNAcentral lists this long non-coding RNA (808 nucleotides) under Lepisosteus oculatus (spotted gar). RNAcentral describes it as "lncRNA (ENSLOCG00000021160.1)". Lineage: Eukaryota; Metazoa; Chordata; Actinopteri; Semionotiformes; Lepisosteidae. The record is from RNAcentral.